UGGGGAAUUUUGGGCAAUGGCCGCAAGGCUGACCCAGCGACGCCGCGUGCGGGAGGACGCCUUUCGGGGUGUAAACCGCUGUCAGGGGGGACGAAUCGCCGGGACGGGAAUACCGUGUCGGUUUGACGGUACCCCCAAAGGAAGCGCCGGCUAACUCCGUGCCAGCAGCCGCGGUAAUACGGAGGGCGCAAGCGUUGUUCGGAAUCACUGGGCGUAAAGCGCGCGCAGGCGGGUGUGCAAGUCGGAAGUGAAAUCCCGGGGCUCAACUCCGGGGCUGCUCCCGAUACUGCACGCCUGGAGACCGGUAGAGGUGGGUGGAAUUCCCGGUGUAGCGGUGGAAUGCGUAGAGAUCGGGAAGAACACCUGUGGCGAAGGCGGCCCACUGGGCCGGUUCUGACGCUGAGGCGCGAAAGCGUGGGGAGCAAACAGG
RNAcentral lists this ribosomal RNA (430 nucleotides) under uncultured bacterium. Its description in RNAcentral is "bacterial SSU rRNA". It matches the Rfam family "Bacterial small subunit ribosomal RNA", at positions 355 to 776 of the family's 1533-position model. The record is from RNAcentral.